AACGAACGCUGGCGGCGCGCCUAACACAUGCAAGUCGAACGAGAAGGCGUAGCAAUACGCUUGUAGAGUGGCGAACGGGUGAGUAAUACGUGGGUGACCUACCCUCGAGUGGGGAAUAACCCGCCGAAAGGCGGGCUAAUGCCGCGUACGCUUCCGUCCUCACGGGGACGGAAGGAAAGCUGUACCGUGGGUACGGCGCUCAAGGAUGGGCUCACGUCCUAUCAGCUUGUUGGUAGGGUAACGGCCACCAAGGCUACGACGGGUAGCUGGUCUGAGAGGACGAUCAGCCACACUGGCACUGCGACACGGGCCAGACUCCUACGGGAGGCAGCAGUGAGGAAUAUUGCGCAAUGGGCGAAAGACCUGACGCAGCGACGCCGCGUGGGGGAGUGAAGGU
This 397-nucleotide ribosomal RNA is filed under the name uncultured bacterium. Its description in RNAcentral is "bacterial SSU rRNA". It matches the Rfam family "Bacterial small subunit ribosomal RNA", at positions 29 to 415 of the family's 1533-position model. The record is from RNAcentral.